UACGGGGGGGGCAAGCGUUGUUCGGAAUUACUGGGCGUAAAGGGCUCGUAGGUGGCCAACUAAGUCAGACGUGAAAUCCCUCAGCUUAACUGGGGAACUGCGUCUGAUACUGGAUGGCUUGAGAUUGGGAGAGGGAUGCGGAAUUCCAGGUGUAGCGGUGAAAUGCGUAGAUAUCUGGAGGAACACCGGUGGCGAAGGCGGCAUCCUGGACCAACACUGGCACUGAGGAGCGAAAGCCAGGGGAGCAAACGGG
Molecule: ribosomal RNA, 253 nt
Filed under: uncultured bacterium
Lineage: Bacteria
Description: partial 16S ribosomal RNA
Rfam family: Bacterial small subunit ribosomal RNA
Source: RNAcentral